CAGCAGCCUCUUCCUUCUCUUCACUCUAUGGAGUGAACUGAAGAAGCACUACUUAGCGGUCUACGAGUAGGUAGACAUCAGUUAGCCCAGAGAGGCCGAGGAUGAAAUUGAAAAGAGCUACAAGGCCAGUAGUAUGGUGAGAGUGCAUCGUCCUUUUAGCUCUCUCAAUUCCUUCCCCGGCCUCUCUAGCAGUCUAGCUCUCUCAAUUCCUUCCUCGGCCUCUCUAGGAUAUAGAGGCAGCAAGGAUUGUGUACCUCGUGUUUAUUUGUUGAGAGAUUACUCCUUUGAAUCAUCUCGCAUCUUAGGUGCAAGGAGUUUGGCAAGAUGGUGAUUAACCCAAAGUGUUCCACUUGCGUCGGCGGCGUGUGUUCCUGCUCCCGAGAGCAGGUGGUGCUCAGUCGCAGAUCGUUUUCUCCACUUUUGCAGCGACCAUAGCAGCAUGGACGGCAGGUGGUGUAUGCGUGCAUCGCAAGAGCGACACACACACUAUGCCAAGGAAAAGUUUGAGUGUCCGCAUUGCUAUGGUCGCCGCAUAAGCGGAUGAAACGUUCAGCAGCUGCGCACCACACCUGCGCGGCAGCCUAGACACGCACAACACUGACACUGUCCGGGCAUUAGUCACCAGCUUACAAAACUCCUUGCACCAGCGAUGCGAUGGUUCAAUUUAAAGUGGAGUAAUCUAUGAACAAAUAAACACGCAUGUACUCAAUGCAAGCAUCGAUCGUCAUCUAUCAUCCUGCUUGUUCCAGUAGAAGCAGAGAGAUAAACUAAAAAGAAACAUAACAAAACUUAUAUAUAGGUGUACGUCAUCAGAACAGUCGGGCUGGCCGACGCAUGAAUGUAUUGCUCGGAUCGAUUAAUAAUCAGAUUUGCAAACGAAUAUUACUCGGCUAAGUCAAGCAUUUAGAUCACUGUUGAAUAGUAUUGAAUCAGAUCUCGCUUAGUCGGCCUUGCUUUGUACGGAGGCCGAAAAAGUGUGACUGGUCGUAACCCUACGCCCAUCUUCCUCCUCAUGAUCGUCCUUGCACCACUCUUGCUUCCUCUCCCACCGCCCCCGACUAGUGGCUCCCUUGGCACUGGCCGCCUCCUGUCCCCGACCCUCGACCCCAUCCUCCUCUAACCUCUGUCAUAAUGUGCC
RNAcentral lists this long non-coding RNA (1138 nucleotides) under Sorghum bicolor (sorghum). RNAcentral describes it as "long non-coding RNA (SBIC_LNC007041)". Lineage: Eukaryota; Viridiplantae; Streptophyta; Magnoliopsida; Poales; Poaceae. The record is from RNAcentral.